This is an RNA transcript of Neopsephotus bourkii (Bourke's parrot), 2764 nucleotides long. It is a transcript of the gene named microtubule associated protein tau, with no coding region annotated. The transcript has 15 exons. The record is from RefSeq and is a predicted model, not a curated record. NCBI's taxonomy places the organism in Eukaryota, Metazoa, Chordata, Aves, Psittaciformes, Psittacidae.
GGAAGUUUUCUCACCAGGUGUUUCCAGGCUCGCUGCGUGGCAUCCCCCUGCCUUGGAGCAGUUAAAGCCGUGAGGAGCAGGAGCAGCUCGUUGCAGGUAACUUUGCUGAGAGAUGGCGGAGCACCGUCAGGACGUCACCAUGAUGGAGGAUCAUGCAGCUGCUCAGGAGAAGCACAUCCCAUCAGGCUAUCCCCUUCAGAUACCAGUUGAUGAUGGAUCAGAUGAGCCUGUUUCUGAAACAUCUGACGCUAAGAGCACCCCAACUACGGAAGAUGCCACAGCACCUUUAGUGGAGGAAGGAGACCACGAGGAUCAGGGUGGUGUCGAACAGCACGGGGAGAUCCCAGAAGGAACCACAGCUGAAGAGGCUGGUGUAGGAGCCACUCCCAACCUUGAGGACCACGCUGCAGGAGAUGCCACUCAAGCUCCAGGGGAGCCAAGCUCUGCAAAGCCACAGCCUGGCCCCCAGGAGCCUGUGGGAGGUGUGAUGAAAGGAGAAAGCCAGUCCACAAAGCAGUCAGCUGGGGCUCUCCAGCAGCCUCUGCUGCCACCUGAAACAAAGGCUACAGCAGCAGCUCCCACCAGAAUCGAGGUCACCAUCCCAAUACCCCUGGAUAUGUACCAAGACUCCAGAGCAUCCGAAGACAAGAGUGAGUUGUGGGAUCAUCGAGGCAGAGAAGGCAUUGGUGUAGAUCCAGAGCUGGGAGCAGAGCUGGGUCCUGAGGUGCACACUGAGGGGUUGGCAGGAGCUGGUGGCACAGAGGAGACCCAUAUUAAAGAUGGGCCAUCUCCUUUAUGUACCAGAGCCCCGUUAAAAGAAGAUGCCAGUGGACAGGAGAGAGAUGAAGACCGUGACAUUGAUGAAAUGUCUGAGCAGAGUUUGCUUUCUCUGGUGGCUCAGCGUGAAGUGGGCUUGUGUCCAGCAGCUAAGGAAGCUCUUAAAGAAAACGUGUCCAAGGAUGUCCUCAGAGACAUCCCAGGAGAGGCACUUGUUGUUGAAGCUGAACCACAUAAAGCAGGAGAGGACCAAGAGGAGAGGAGACAGCUGCUGGGAGGUGAAGAAGGUAGAGAUGUCACCCAGUCAGAGCCUUCUGAAGUCAUCUCCCAAACCGAAGCUGAGCCCAGGGAGGGAGAAGAUUCUGGACCCACAGAGGUAAAAGAUGAUGUGCAAGGCAGAGAUGCUCCUUUGGAAGAGGUUGUGCCAGGUACAGGAGAACGUCGAACACCCAAGAAGAAACCUCCUGCCCACGUUGCAGAUAAAGCCACCAGUCGUGUCCCUCUCCUCAAAGGUCGUAUUGACAGCAAAGACAAGGAAGGGACUGAAGCUGAGGAAAAGAAACUGAAGAACUCCUCACCCUGCACUGCCAAACCCCCAGGGGAUAGACCCUGCAUCCCCCCCCAACGACACACCUCCUCUAGCACAGCCCCUUCGAAAACACCCUCCAGCCCUGCUUCCACCUCUAAACGAGCCUCUUCUGUCACAUCCCGACCUGCCAGUACAGGAACACAAGAAAGGAGAGCCAAGGGCUCGGAGAUGAGAGGUGGCACGAAGGCCACGCCGCGGGCUGGAGCCGGGCAGGCACAGAGGAACUCCACCAAUGCCACACGCAUCCCAGCAAAGACCCCCACGGCCCCUAAGACACCCCCCAGCUCCGGCAGAAAGGAGCAGAAAAAACCACCUCCGGCAGCAGCAAAGUCUGAGAAAGGUGAGCAGCCAAAGUCUGGAGACAGAAGCGGUUACAGCAGUCCCGGCUCCCCCGGGACUCCAGGCAGCCGUUCCCGCACUCCCUCUCUGCCCACCCCACCAGCCAGGGAGCCCAAGAAGGUGGCAGUGGUCCGCACACCACCCAAAUCUCCUGCCUCUGCCAAGAGCCGCAUCCAGCCCUCAGCCGCGCCGAUGCCGGACCUCAAAAACGUCAAGUCCAAAAUCGGCUCCACUGAGAACCUGAAGCACCAGCCCGGAGGUGGCAAGGUGCAGAUUAUUAAUAAGAAGCUGGACUUUAGCAGCGUUCAAUCCAAGUGUGGCUCAAAGGAUAAUAUCAAACACAUCCCGGGAGGAGGCAGUGUGCAGAUUGUUAAUCAGAAGUUGGACUUUAGCAGCGUUCAAUCCAGGUGUGGCUCAAAGGAUAAUAUCAAACACAUCCCAGGAGGAGGCAGUUUUUUGUGGACAUAAGCUUUAUGUUUUACACCAGAAAAGGUAUUUAUUUUUUACGUUUUUCUCUCUGGUAUUAUUUCCUUCUUUUGGAUGAUGUGUAUGCAAAUCUGAAUUAAUCACCACUCCACUUUCUCUCUCACUUUAAGCACUUUAAAAUUGCCUCUACUUCCCCCCUCUGUGGAGAGGUGAUCUCGUGCAUGCUGACAUGUUAAAGAGAGGCUACUGCACACGGGCAUUACUGAUCUCCCAUUUCUGAUGACAGUUUCUCUUGUAUCGUUAACCUUCCUGGGGUUUGAGCUGUCCUUUCCCUUGACUCCAGAUCAGGUGCCGGGGUGUGUUGUGCCUCCCCCUCCCCACUCGCCCAUGGUGGCCAUCCCCUCACUGCCUUCUCCUCUCUCAUAUGGACAGGUUCAAAUCGUUUACAAGCCAGUCGACCUGAGCCACGUGACGUCCAAAUGUGGUUCCCUGGGCAACAUCCAUCACAAACCAGGCGGUGGCCAGGUGGAGGUGAAAUCUGAGAAACUGGACUUCAAAGAUAAGGUGCAGUCAAAAAUCGGGUCCUUAGAUAACAUCAGCCACGUCCCUGGAGGAGGGAAUAAAAAGGUAAAG